Molecule: long non-coding RNA, 231 nt
Filed under: Lathyrus oleraceus (garden pea)
Lineage: Eukaryota; Viridiplantae; Streptophyta; Magnoliopsida; Fabales; Fabaceae
Description: Pisum sativum (pea) long non-coding RNA (PSAT_LNC004591)
Source: RNAcentral
CAUGACCACAUAACAUGAUUUCAGCAUUGUACAUUGUUAAUUUUGGACCUGAUAACAUCAUUUGAUGGGCCUACGGCACGCCCAUGCAAGCAUGCAAGGCAAUUGCUAAAUUUGGCAAAUUUUGGAAGUGUGUGGAAAUGAAUCAUAAUGCCUAUAAAUACAACCCUCUUGGCUCAGAAUUGAGGACCUCAUGCCCAAGCUUUCAACCUGCAAUCCAAACUGUAACACCCC